RNAcentral lists this long non-coding RNA (1406 nucleotides) under Equus asinus (donkey). RNAcentral describes it as "lncRNA (ENSEASG00005025694.1)". The record is from RNAcentral. Lineage: Eukaryota; Metazoa; Chordata; Mammalia; Perissodactyla; Equidae.
AAAACGAGUGAGACAGGUCUGUAAGCAGCGACGGGAAAGACUGUCGAGACAGGUCAUAGAGCGGAAAACAUAGCUUAUAGCAUGAUACUUACAGUAAGAUGCCUUUUAGUAAAACAAAAACAAAGCCACACACCAGGCUGCUCCAUCCUCGUCCACGGUCGCAUACCUGUAAACGCAAUGUGAGUCUGAAAGGAGAUGUGUGACGACCAUGGCUGCCUCCGGGUAGGGCAAGAGGGACAAGGACUGGGGAUGAUGGUCAAAGGGGACUUUAGUUCUAUUUGUAAUGUUUUAAUUUUUACACGGAGAAGAUACCACGGAUUACUUGUGUCAAUGAAAAGUAAGAAAACCACCGCCGGGCUGGUGGGCUAGAAGAGUGAGCCAGAGGCGAUCACAGAUUCUGUUGCCAGGAACCUUCUGCCGGUGGGAAUGGAGCAAGCCCAGAGUCACUGUUGGGUGCCCUUGUGGCGUCCCUCCCUUACCUGCAGUUUUCACACUCCCAGGGCCGGGGGGCUCACCCACUCACAAAGCAGCUGGCUCCCAGGGCGUUAGCUCUGACCAUUAGAAAGCAUGCUUCCAUCUGUUGAGCAGACCGUGCCUUCCAGAAACGGACUCCCCAGACUGAGCACUGCUCUCUGAGGCCGCAUACGUGGUCUCCGUCAAUGAGAUGGCACCCUGGAGUUUUAAAGCCAGCACAGACCAGCUGGAGGUGCCAUUUACAUACAGUGAAAUGGAUGCGUGUCAAGUGGAAGGUCAAUGCGUGUUCAGGCGCGUGCAUACCCAGGCAGCGCCACGCAGAUUCGGCUCGGGCGUUUGCGGCCCCAGAAGGCUCCCACCUCCCUCUCGCAGGCAGUGCUCCCCACCCCGCCCGGAGAGCCGCCCAUCCCGCUUCUCUCUCCACAGAGUCAUUUUGCCUGUUUCUGAACUUCCUAUAAAUGGGAACACGCGAACGGGGUCAUCCCUUGCUUUGUUCUGGCUUCUUUUACUUGAGAUUAGAUUUCAUUAAACAGACAAGACAAAGCCAUGGGGGCGUGGGGGGAGCUGUUUAAUUUCUGUGAGCCUCACUCUCUCCUGAUCUAUCAAACAGAUGAACACGAAGCUCCAACAGGACAGCACAGAUGAGAGCACAUGCGACCUCUACCCCCAGGGCGCCACCAUCGCGAGGAAGUAUUACUCUUAUUGUCACUGGGCAAACCGGAUUUCAUGACCCGUGAAAAUGGAUUCCCCCUCUGCGCUGGGCUCCCUCAGAACAGGUGGUGGAGGUUUCUGAACCUCAUGCUGAACCUUCCAAACCUCAUUCUGAAACCAGCCCUUUCUGGCUUGUCUCCCUGGGGCACGCAGAAUUCUAAUUUUAAGCUCCACGGUCAGGGUGACAGAAGAGUUUGGAGCCCAGAGUAAAGAUACGUGGU